Molecule: long non-coding RNA, 980 nt
Organism: Gavia stellata (red-throated loon)
Lineage: Eukaryota; Metazoa; Chordata; Aves; Gaviiformes; Gaviidae
Exons: 3
Source: RefSeq, a predicted model, not a curated record
UUUACUAGAGAGCAGGAAACUUCCACCACCAUUUUCCCUCCCCAUUCCAGCAACUGUCCCGAGAUAUCUGGGCACACGUCACGCGGCCGGAGCUGUGGCUGUGUGAAGUUGUCUCCGGACACUGGACAAGGCUUUCACCUGGUCGUGCAUAAAAGCCUUGAGGCAUCAGAUGGUCUCCUGCCUGCCCUGUGUACCAUAUAAACUGUGAGGAAGCAAAUCAGUAAGCUGCCAAACUUUUGGAAGAAGACACUUCCCCUGUCUCCUCCAGAGCUCUCCGACUAGGCUAUGAUGAGAACUUCAGCACCAACAGUCACAGUGAGAUUCCACCUCAAUUGGCUCUUACCUCCAGAAGACAGCAGAAAAGCCACCUUUCUCCAGGAGCGGUCCGGGUCCUGGAAAGGCUGGAGCCGCAUCAAGCAGGCUGGGACAUAUUCAAGCACGUCACUGAGACCAACAGGCAGCAGCAAGAGCUGCAGCGGCAGCCGCCCUGAGGCCUGGCACCAAGACGUCUUGCCCCGAGGGGGGAAUACCUGUUUGGGACAGCCAAGGUCUCGCCCCACCUGACUCAGCCCCAGGCUGAUCCGCUGCACGGAAGGCAGAAGGGGCAGUAUGGAAGAGGAGCAACACAGUAACUGAGCUCUUGGGAACCUACUUGCAGAAGCCCCUCGCCGCUCCCGGCCCACCCGUGCGUAACCACACAGCAUCACGCUGCGCCCCUGAAAGUAAGGCUGGGGCAGGGGAGGGCACCGGCCCGACCUGGACCCUCUCCACAGGCCACUUCUCCGCAGGCUGAGGGUGAGGCCACUUCUCUGCAGGCUGAGAGCCAGGCCCCCCCGCACCUGGGGGCUCCUACGCCUCAGCAGGAGCUGACGGCCGCAACCCCAGGCCCCCGCAGUCAGUGGCUCGGCCUGGUGCUGGUGUUACAGAACAUCCUGAAACGCAGGGUCAAAGUAGUGUAAAAGGAAUGGAAAUAAUGUGAA